AUUGAACGCUGGCGGCAGGCCUAACACAUGCAAGUCGAACGGUAACAGGAAGAAGCUUGCUUCUUUGCUGACGAGUGGCGGACGGGUGAGUAAUGUCUGGGAAACUGCCUGAUGGAGGGGGAUAACUACUGGAAACGGGAGCUAAUACCGCAUAACGUCUCAAGACCAAAGAGGGGGACCUUCGGGCCUCUUGCCAUCGGAUGUGCCCAGAUGGGAUUAGCUAGUAGGUGGGGUAACGGCUCACCUAGGCGACGAUCCCUAGCUGGUCUGAGAGGAUGACCAGCCACACUGGAACUGAGACACGGUCCAGACUCCUACGGGAGGCAGCAGUGGGGAAUAUUGCACAAUGGGCGCAAGCCUGAUGCAGCCAUGCCGCGUGUAUGAAGAAGGCCUUCGGGUUGUAAAGUACUUUCAGCGGGGAGGAAGGGAGUAAAGUUAAUACCUUUGCUCAUUGACGUUACCCGCAGAAGAAGCACCGGCUAACUCCGUG
RNAcentral lists this ribosomal RNA (490 nucleotides) under uncultured bacterium. RNAcentral describes it as "partial 16S ribosomal RNA". It matches the Rfam family "Bacterial small subunit ribosomal RNA", at positions 30 to 507 of the family's 1533-position model. The record is from RNAcentral.